UACGGAGGGUGCAAACGUUGUUCGGAAUCAUUGGGCGUAAAGCGCACGUAGGCGGCUCGUUAAGUCGGCUGUGAAAGUCCUGGGCUCAACCCAGGAAGUGCAUACGAAACUGGCGAGCUUGAAUAUGGAAGAGGGUCGCGGAAUUCCCGGUGUAGAGGUGAAAUUCGUAGAUAUCGGGAGGAACACCAGUGGCGAAGGCGGCGACCUGGGCCAAUAUUGACGCUGAGGUGCGAAAGCGUGGGGAGCAAACAGG
RNAcentral lists this ribosomal RNA (253 nucleotides) under uncultured bacterium. RNAcentral describes it as "partial 16S ribosomal RNA". It matches the Rfam family "Bacterial small subunit ribosomal RNA", at positions 524 to 776 of the family's 1533-position model. The record is from RNAcentral.